AACGCUAGCUACAGGCUUAACACAUGCAAGUCGAGGGGCAGCAUUUUAGUUUGCUUGCAAACUGAAGAUGGCGACCGGCGCACGGGUGAGUAACACGUAUCCAACCUGCCGAUAACUCCGGAAUAGCCUUUCGAAAGGAAGAUUAAUACCGGAUAGCAUACGAAUAUCGCAUGAUAUUUUUAUUAAAGAAUUUCGGUUAUCGAUGGGGAUGCGUUCCAUUAGUUUGUUGGCGGGGUAACGGCCCACCAAGACUACGAUGGAUAGGGGUUCUGAGAGGAAGGUCCCCCACAUUGGAACUGAGACACGGUCCAAACUCCUACGGGAGGCAGCAGUGAGGAAUAUUGGUCAAUGGGCGAGAGCCUGAACCAGCCAAGUAGCGUGAAGGAUGAAGGCUCUAUGGGUCGUAAACUUCUUUUAUAUGGGAAUAAAGUUUUCCACGUGUGGAAUUUUGUAUGUACCAUAUGAAUAAGGAUCGGCUAACUCCGUGCCAGCAGCCGCGGUAAUACGGAGGAUCCGAGCGUUAUCCGGAUUUAUUGGGUUUAAAGGGAGCGUAGGUGGAUUGUUAAGUCAGUUGUGAAAGUUUGCGGCUCAACCGUAAAAUUGCAGUUGAAACUGGCAGUCUUGAGUACAGUAGAGGUGGGCGGAAUUCGUGGUGUAGCGGUGAAAUGCUUAGAUAUCACGAAGAACUCCGAUUGCGAAGGCAGCUCACUAGACUGUCACUGACACUGAUGCUCGAAAGUGUGGGUAUCAAACAGGAUUAGAUACCCUGGUAGUCCACACAGUAAACGAUGAAUACUCGCUGUUUGCGAUAUACAGUAAGCGGCCAAGCGAAAGCAUUAAGUAUUCCACCUGGGGAGUACGCCGGCAACGGUGAAACUCAAAGGAAUUGACGGGGGCCCGCACAAGCGGAGGAACAUGUGGUUUAAUUCGAUGAUACGCGAGGAACCUUACCCGGGCUUAAAUUGCAACAGAAUAUAUUGGAAACAGUAUAGCCGUAAGGCUGUUGUGAAGGUGCUGCAUGGUUGUCGUCAGCUCGUGCCGUGAGGUGUCGGCUUAAGUGCCAUAACGAGCGCAACCCUUAUCUUUAGUUACUAACAGGUUAUGCUGAGGACUCUAGAGAGACUGCCGUCGUAAGAUGUGAGGAAGGUGGGGAUGACGUCAAAUCAGCACGGCCCUUACGUCCGGGGCUACACACGUGUUACAAUGGGGGGUACAGAAGGCGGCUACCUGGUGACAGGAUGCUAAUCCCAAAAACCUCUCUCAGUUCGGAUCGAAGUCUGCAACCCGACUUCGUGAAGCUGGAUUCGCUAGUAAUCGCGCAUCAGCCAUGGCGCGGUGAAUACGUUCCCGGGCCUUGUACACACCGCCCGUCAAGCCAUGAAAGCCGGGGGUACCUGAAGUACGUAACCGCAAGGAGCGUCCUAGGGUAAAACUGGUAAUUG
Molecule: ribosomal RNA, 1442 nt
Filed under: uncultured organism
Description: SSU rRNA
Rfam family: Bacterial small subunit ribosomal RNA
Source: RNAcentral